RNAcentral lists this RNase P RNA (289 nucleotides) under candidate division WS6 bacterium RIFOXYB1_FULL_33_14. RNAcentral's name for it is "partial RNase P RNA component class A". It matches the Rfam family "Bacterial RNase P class A". Rfam says of the family: Ribonuclease P (RNase P) is a ubiquitous endoribonuclease, found in archaea, bacteria and eukarya as well as chloroplasts and mitochondria. Its best characterised activity is the generation of mature 5'-ends of tRNAs by cleaving the 5'-leader elements of precursor-tRNAs. The record is from RNAcentral.
AUACGGUCGCGCUAAUUUAAAAAUUAGUGAGGAAAGUCCGGACUCCAUGUAGCCUCUGACAUAUUGAGGUAGGUGCCAACGAAAGUUGGGAGGGAGUGAUCUUUCGGAGAAAAGGGCAACAGAAAGUUAUACCGCCUAAGCAAUUAGGUAAGGGUGAAAAGGUAGUGUAAGAGACUACCGGGUAUUGUAGUAAUACAAUAUUGCGAGGUAACCCCCCCUGGAGCAAGGUUUAACCGCAUAGAUAGAUGAUCGUUUAAUACAGAAUCCGGCUUAUUUGGUACUUACACAA